RNAcentral lists this long non-coding RNA (586 nucleotides) under Ananas comosus (pineapple). Its description in RNAcentral is "long non-coding RNA (ACOM_LNC042080)". Lineage: Eukaryota; Viridiplantae; Streptophyta; Magnoliopsida; Poales; Bromeliaceae. The record is from RNAcentral.
UGUAUCUUGGAUUUCGGCGUGAGAUUACUACUGAUGUUGCAUUAGCGCGUUUGGUUUAAUACAGUAAUGUAAUACUAGAUUACAGUGUUUAUAGCAUUAAUAUGUUUGGUUCAGUUUAUAAAAUUUAGUAAUCUUGACAUAAAAGUAUAGUUUUCUCCAAAAUUGCCCUUGUUGUGGUCAUUUGAAUAUUAUUUUUUGCGGAAAUAACAAAUGGAGGGAAGGAGAUCGUGAUGAUUACUUGGGAGGACGAUGCAAUAGAAGAUGAUAGGUGUUCGUGUGAGAGAGUGAGAGAGAGAGAGAGUGAGAGAGAGACGUCGAGAGAGAGAGCGAGAGAAAGCGGCGUGCGAGAGAGAGGGGGGAAGGCGAGAGAGAGAGAUGAAAAUAAUGCUGUUAAUUAGAUUUGGGGUUGUUGGAGGGUAAAAUUGUCAUUUUACAUAAUAUGUAGUAUUAACGGAUUUUAGUAAUGCAAGAUACACGACCCCUCUCCCAUUAAUAUUUUCGAUGAAAUCCUGCUCGAUUUGUAAUGCUACAUUAACGACUAGAUUACAUAGCGGAUUAACCAAACACAGUUAUCCUGGCAGGAUUG